AUUGAACGCUGGCGGCAGGCUUAACACAUGCAAGUCGAGCGGUAGAGUCCUUCGGGGCUUGAGAGCGGCGGACGGGUGAGUAAUACAUAGGAAUCUGCCUGUUAGUGGGGGAUAGCCCGGGGAAACCCGGAUUAAUACCGCAUACGCCCUACGGGGGAAAGGAGGGGAUCUUCGGACCUUCCGCUAACAGAUGAGCCUAUGUCGGAUUAGCUUGUUGGUGAGGUAAAGGCUCACCAAGGCGACGAUCCGUAACUGGUCUGAGAGGAUGAUCAGUCACACUGGAACUGAGACACGGUCCAGACUCCUACGGGAGGCAGCAGUGGGGAAUAUUGGACAAUGGGGGCAACCCUGAUCCAGCCAUGCCGCGUGUGCGAUGAAGGCUUUCGGGUUGUAAGCACUUUCAGUCGGGAGGAAAGGGACGGCAGGCUAAUACCUCGUGUAGUUAGACGUUACC
RNAcentral lists this ribosomal RNA (454 nucleotides) under uncultured bacterium. RNAcentral describes it as "bacterial SSU rRNA". It matches the Rfam family "Bacterial small subunit ribosomal RNA", at positions 30 to 479 of the family's 1533-position model. The record is from RNAcentral.